CAUCUGAGUCUUGAUUUUGGCUCAGGUCUAAUCUCAGGGUUGUGAGAUAGAGCUUGGGCUCCAUGCUGGAAGUGAAGCCUACUUAAGAUUUUCUCUCUCCCCUCUCCCUCUGCCCCUCCCCUGGCUCUCACUCACUGUCUCUUAAAAAAAUAUGAAAAAUUAAAAAAAAAAUUGCUAGAUUUGCCUGGCUAAGUUGUUCAUCUCUGCCUUUUCCAUUCUAUCAGAUGAGAGCAUAAAUUUUACCUUGCCCAUCCUGGACAAACUGGACUUGCUCUGGCACUUUUCACAGAGGUCCGAUGGAUGAGUAAGAGAUUUGUGUGAAAGUGAUUUCAGAGAAGGGUUGUUGGAUGAGCAUCGGGUGACACUGACAAGGAUGCACAGGGAAUAGAGGAAUCAAGCCAAAAGGUGGAGUGAAAUCUUUUGCAUUAGCUAUUGAGCAACAUGACCUGUUAGGAAAGUGGGUGGACUCAAGUACGUUGCUGGAUUCAUGCUCAUUACAUCUACCAGAUUUUGAAACUUUGUGGGGAACAUGCAUUUUGUAAACUGUGAGAGAGCUCAAUCAUCUGUGUUGUUUUACGACGAAAGAAACAAAUACCCAACAAUCUCUGUCAAAACAUGAGAAGGUCACACCAGAAGAAUGGGAUGAAUCAGAAGUAGACUCAUUAUCAUUAAAUCUUCAAUCACUGAGCUUGUACCAGCUCAGUUUCUUGAUUACAUUGCUAUAAUCAACUCCUGAUACCACCUUACAAAAGCAGAAGGAACUCUUCCUGAUGGAAGAUAAUAUUAUCUACUGCCCUUAUAAUUCUUUUGUGGGUCAUUUCUGGAAAAUAAUAGAAUAUUACUAGGCAUUCAAGGAGGAAAGAAGACAUAUUGAUAAUGAAAGCAAAGCACACACUAGAAGCAGACCUAUAUAUGAUCCGGAUAUUGGAGCUGGCAGACAAGAAUUGUGACUGAAAUAUCAAAAAUUAAGAAAUAUAUGAGGAAAAAAAUCAAUAAAAAUAUAUAACUUCAGUAAAGUAGAAAUCUAUACAAAUAAUAAAAUGGAAAGUCCAUAGCUGGAAAAUAUUACAUAGAACUAAAGAAUUCAGAAGAUGAAUUUAAUAACAGAUUGUACAAAGCAGAACGCAGGAUGAGAUAUUUCAAAAAUAGGUCAUAGAAAAUACUAGUUGCAGAGAGAAAAAAUAAAAAGUAAAAUUAAAAAAUAAAACAUUAUGAGACACAUGGGGAUACUAAAAAGUCUUAAUAUAAUUAUAAUUGGAAUCCCAGAAAGAGAUGGGAAAACAUGUAUCAGAGGCAAAAUUCAGAGAGCAAAUAAUUGACAAUUUUCAAGAUUUGAACAAGAUACAAAUUCAGCCAUUCAAAAAGCUUACCAAGUCUCAGGCAGGAUAAAUAUAAAAAAAUACACUAAGCACAUUAUAGUAAAACU
This is a long non-coding RNA of Neofelis nebulosa (Clouded leopard), 1426 nucleotides long. RefSeq lists it as uncharacterized. The transcript has 3 exons. NCBI's taxonomy places the organism in Eukaryota, Metazoa, Chordata, Mammalia, Carnivora, Felidae. The record is from RefSeq and is a predicted model, not a curated record.